This 375-nucleotide ribosomal RNA is filed under the name uncultured organism. RNAcentral describes it as "partial 16S ribosomal RNA". It matches the Rfam family "Bacterial small subunit ribosomal RNA", at positions 527 to 896 of the family's 1533-position model. The record is from RNAcentral.
GUAGGUGGCAAGCGUUGUCCGGAAUUAUUGGGCGUAAAGCGCGCGCAGGCGGUCCUUUAAGUCUGAUGUGAAAGCCCACGGCCCAACCGUGGAGGGUCAUUGGAAACUGGGGGACUUGAGUACAGAAGAGGAAAGCGGAAUUCCAAGUGUAGCGGUGAAAUGCGUAGAGAUUUGGAGGAACACCAGUGGCGAGGGCGGCUUUCUGGUCUGUAACUGACGCUGAGGCGCGAAAGCGUGGGGAGCAAACAGGGAUUAGAUACCCUGGUAGUCCACGCCGUAAACGAUGAGUGCUAAGUGUUAGGGGGUUUCCCGCCCCCUUAGUGCUGCAGCUAACGCAUUAAGCACUCCGCCUGGGGAGUACGGCCCGCAAGGCUG